RNAcentral lists this ribosomal RNA (1082 nucleotides) under uncultured Rhizaria. RNAcentral's name for it is "SSU rRNA". It matches the Rfam family "Eukaryotic small subunit ribosomal RNA", at positions 577 to 1674 of the family's 1831-position model. The record is from RNAcentral.
CGGUAAUUCCAGCUCCAAUAGCGUAUACUAAAGUUGUUGCAGUUAAAAAGCUCGUAGUUGGAUUUCUGCGGGGACGGAGCGGCCGGACGCAACUUGCGUCUCGAGCUAGCGCUUUCCCCGCAUCCUGCCGCGAACCGUGCUACCAUUAGUUUGGUGGCGCCGGGGAUCGGCUCGAUUACUUUGAGAAAAAUAGAGUGUUCAAAGCAGGCCACACGCCUUGAAUAAGUUAGCAUGGAAUAAUGACUAAGGACUUUGGUUCUUUUCGUUGGUGUUCGGGACUGAAGUAAUGAUUGAUAGGGACAGUUGGGGCGGUCCGUAUUCCAAAGCGAGAGGUGAAAUUCUUAGACCUUCGGAAGACGAACAGCUGCGAAAGCGUUCCGCAAGGAUGUUCCCUUUGAUCAAGAACGAAAGUUGGGGGAUCGAAGACGAUCAGAUACCGUCGUAGUCUCAACUAUAAACUAUACCAGCUAGGGAUCGGCCAACGUUUAACUUUAUCGACUUGGUCGGCACCUUAUGAGAAAUCAAAGCAUCUGGGUUCCGGGGGGAGUAUGGUCGCAAGGCUGAAACUUAAAGGAAUUGACGGAGGGGCACCACCAGCCGUGGAGCCUGUGGCUUAAUUUGACUCAACACGGGAAAACUUACCAGGUCCAGACAUAGGAAGGAUUGACAGAUUGAUAGCUCUUUCUUGAUUCUGUGGGUGGUGGUGCAUGGCCGUUUUUAGUCGGUGGAUGUGAUCUGUCUGCUUAAUUGCGUUAACGGACGAGACCCCAGCCUGCUAAAUAGCGCGGCCGAGCUUUGCUCGGUGCGAGCUUCUUAGAGGGACCAUGAUGCGCGAUAGCACAAGGAAGUUUGGGGCAACGACAGGUCUGUGAUGCCCUUAGAUGUUCUGGGCCGCACACGGGCUACACUGGCGCCUGCAACGAGCAUAUCAGCUGGCCCGAGAGGGUCUUGGCUAAUCUUUGGAACCGGCGCCGUGCUUGGGAUUGACCAUUGCAAUUGUUGGUCAUGCAACGAGGAAUGCCUUGUAAACGCGAGUCAUCAGCUCGCAUUGAAUACGUCCCUGCCCCUUGUACACACCGCCC